Molecule: long non-coding RNA, 481 nt
Organism: Brassica rapa (field mustard)
Lineage: Eukaryota; Viridiplantae; Streptophyta; Magnoliopsida; Brassicales; Brassicaceae
Source: RefSeq, a predicted model, not a curated record
ACAUACCAUAGCACUCUUGGAAGAUGACACAUCAAGGUAUGGAGCAAGCUCGUCAGCUGCAACAACACCUCCUCUAGAAGUUAUAUACCUCCCAAUCUGCAAAUAGGUGACAUAUGCGAGUUACAUCACUAGCAAUUCAUUAUAAUGGAACUAAAGACUUGAAUAGGUUCAAAAGCACAUGAAGAAAAAGAACAUGAGUAGGUUAGAGCACUGCACAUUACCAUCUGCCACCUCUCUUCUUCAAUCCCUUGAUUUGGGUCUCCAUCUCCAAACACAAAGGAGAAAACCUACAAAACAAACCAUUACUAAUUAAUCCAAAGUCAUCAUGACUCAGCAGCAACUGGGGAAGAAACAUAUAGCAAAAAGCAUGAAAGCUUACAGAUUCAAUGAAAUUCAUUCCCUUUCCUUCAUCUUCUCGAGCUCGCCGCCUUCUGUAAUAGUUGGGAUCCCAAUACCUUCCAUCAAAAACACUAGAACAUGA